Molecule: long non-coding RNA, 375 nt
Organism: Vicugna pacos (alpaca)
Lineage: Eukaryota; Metazoa; Chordata; Mammalia; Artiodactyla; Camelidae
Source: RefSeq, a predicted model, not a curated record
CCCUGAUCCUGGAUUGUUCCGAGUCAGGCCAAAGGCAGCCCGGGGGAGGCUCUGAAGUGUGGGGCCCUUCUAAGCACAAGACCCUGUGUGACUGAACAGGUCACACACCCAUGAAACUGCAGAAUCCAUGAGGUACUCUCCAAGGCAGCAACCACCAACUGUGACCUCUUGAGCUUCCAGGCUGCUUCCUAGGAAAGUCCGUUCCUUGACUACAUCGUCAGAGAGCCAGCGAGUUGAUUUCAUCGGCACCAUGCAGCCUGUGGGUACUUCUUGCCCACCCAGACGAGGUGGCAGGACAAUGACCAGUACGGCCAUGUGAACAACGCUACAAUGCUACAGCUACUUCGACAGGGUUAUCAGCCACUACCUGAUCAG